This is a long non-coding RNA of Neopelma chrysocephalum (saffron-crested tyrant-manakin), 429 nucleotides long. RefSeq lists it as uncharacterized. The record is from RefSeq and is a predicted model, not a curated record. The transcript is spliced from 3 exons. Lineage: Eukaryota; Metazoa; Chordata; Aves; Passeriformes; Pipridae.
AAAGGAUCAAUCCAGUUUUUCCAGGCUGAGGGACAAAAAACACCCACCAGUCCAAUUGACUCUUAGUGUGGAUUGGCUGAAAAUGCUAAGAAAGAAAAAUUGUCUGAGUGUCCUAGUGAGAGCAAGAGCAGCUCUCAUUCUGCAUCUUAAUGGCAAUAUAAAAUGACCAGCACUUCUGGAGCAGAUUACAGGGUCACAUCUCCAUUACCAUGGGGAAUGCAGAAGGCAGAAUACUGCAGGACUGUCCCACACAAGGUAGAAAAAUGGCACCAUUUCUCUCUGACCUGCAGGACAGUGUUGUGAAGAUGACAGUCUUUCCAUAGCUCCUGUUGGGACCCUCUCCACUAACCUCACCAGGAGCUGCACAAAUGUUGGAGCACUUCAGGUCUGAUCAUCAGCCCAGGCUACUUCACAUUGUGAUCAAGGAGG